This 408-nucleotide ribosomal RNA is filed under the name uncultured bacterium. RNAcentral's name for it is "partial 16S ribosomal RNA". It matches the Rfam family "Bacterial small subunit ribosomal RNA", at positions 28 to 526 of the family's 1533-position model. The record is from RNAcentral.
GACGAACGCUGGCGGCGUGCCUAAUACAUGCAAGUCGAACGCAGUGGCGGACGGGUGAGUAACACGUGGGUAACAUGCCCUUAAGUCUGGGAUACCAUUUGGAAACAGACGCUAAUACCGGAUACUAAAGGAUGGACCUGCGAUGCAUUAGCUAGUUGGUAAGGUAACGGCUUACCAAGGCGAUGAUGCAUAGCCGACUUGAGAGGCUGAUCGGCCACAUUGGGACUGAGACACGGCCCAAACUCCUACGGGAGGCAGCAGUAGGGAAUCUUCCACAAUGGACGAAAGUCUGAUGGAGCAACGCCGCGUGAGUGAAGAAGGUUUUCGGAUCGUAAAGCUCUGUUGUUGGGGAAGCGGUAAUCAACCAGAAAGUCACGGCUAAAUACGUGCCAGGAGCCGCGGUAAUAC